Molecule: ribosomal RNA, 502 nt
Filed under: uncultured bacterium
Lineage: Bacteria
Description: bacterial SSU rRNA
Rfam family: Bacterial small subunit ribosomal RNA
Source: RNAcentral
CUCGGGAUGAACGCUAGCGACAGGCCUAACACAUGCAAGUCGAGGGGCAGCACAAGGAGCAAGUCUGAGGUGGCGACCGGCGCACGGGUGAGUAACACGUAUGCAACCUGCCUGUAAGCGGGGAAUAACCCGUUGAAAGACGGACUAAUACCGCAUAAUACUAAAUUACUGCAUGGUAAUUUAUUUAAACAUUUAUGGCUUACAGAUGGGCAUGCGCAUGAUUAGCUAGUUGGAGAGGUAACGGCUCCCCAAGGCAACGAUCAUUAGGGGUUCUGAGAGGAAGGUCCCCCACACUGGUACUGAGACACGGACCAGACUCCUACGGGAGGCAGCAGCGAGGAAUAUUGGUCAAUGGACGAGAGUCUGAACCAGCCAAGUCGCGUGCAGGAAGAAUGUCCUAUGGAUUGUAAACUGCUUUUGCAGGGGGAAUAAAGUGCAUCACGUGUGAUGUUUUGUAUGUACUCUGCGAAUAAGGAUCGGCUAACUCCGUGCCAGCAGCUGC